RNAcentral lists this microRNA precursor (61 nucleotides) under Columba livia (rock pigeon). Its description in RNAcentral is "Cli-Mir-216-P2b_pre stem-loop". It matches the Rfam family "mir-216 microRNA precursor family", at positions 9 to 70 of the family's 77-position model. The record is from RNAcentral. Lineage: Eukaryota; Metazoa; Chordata; Aves; Columbiformes; Columbidae.
UAAUCUCAGCUGGCAACUGUGAGCCGCUAAUAACUCUCUCACAGUGGUAUCUGGGAUUAUG